Molecule: long non-coding RNA, 358 nt
Organism: Pteropus alecto (black flying fox)
Lineage: Eukaryota; Metazoa; Chordata; Mammalia; Chiroptera; Pteropodidae
Exons: 4
Source: RefSeq, a predicted model, not a curated record
CGGCCCCUCUGUCUCCCACAAUGCUUCACGGGACGCUUCAGCCACUCUGUAUCCCACAAUGACCCGAGGCUCCAACCCUCUCUAACUGAUCACGUGGUUUGAUUCUCACAGAGAUCUUCCAUCCAGACUCAAGCACAAAAGGAGCCUGGAGCCGUGUCUAUUUGGAUUGGUGCUCCCCGCAUCAUUGUGCACAGAGCGUGGGGAUGAAUGAAUGAGUGACAGGCAUCGGGACAGUCCUGCAGCAUUCCUGAGAGGCAGGCUGGGCAGCACCAGGACGGAGAUAUAACUUCUCCAUGAAUUGGCCUUACUUCGCACUGAAGCUGGUGUGCUCUUAGAACUAAAAUCUAUCACAAGAAGC